AAGAGACAGCAGCAGCCACGGGAAUACGAAGGGGGCUAGCGUUGCUCGGAAUCACUGGGCGUAAAGGGUGCGUAGGCGGGUCUUUAAGUCAGGGGUGAAAUCCUGGAGCUCAACUCCAGAACUGCCUUUGAUACUGAAGAUCUUGAGUUCGGGAGAGGUGAGUGGAACUGCGAGUGUAGAGGUGAAAUUCGUAGAUAUUCGCGAGAACACCAGUGGCGAAGGCGGCUCACUGGCCCGAUACUGACGCUGAGGCACGAAAGCGUGGGGAGCAAACAGGAUUAGAGACCCCAGUAGUCCCUGUCUCUUAUAC
Molecule: ribosomal RNA, 310 nt
Filed under: uncultured bacterium
Lineage: Bacteria
Description: partial 16S ribosomal RNA
Rfam family: Bacterial small subunit ribosomal RNA
Source: RNAcentral